UGGCGAGUAUCUCGACGUCCUCUCAGUGCUUCAUAGAGUUGAUGGCUUGCGUUUGUUUGCAGCUGAAGCAGGCAUGCCCCGGUGUCAAUGAGAUCUUGCCUGUUUUUACCCCAUUCGUCGGACCCUCCCAAGGUCCCAAUUAUCAUAAUACUCCAAAAUGAUAUGAGAGAGGCCAGAAAAUGUUGCCUCAUGAUUGGUGACUGAAGAGUUGAAAUUCUAUGGGCAAACAGACUGAAUGGGCAUAACGCUUAGCACAAGAUAGAAAAUGCUAAUGGGAUACUCGAAUGAGAAAGAAAAGUCACAUAAAACGAAGGGAAACGAAUGAUCUGGCAGGGACGGAAAACUAGAGAGUGACGUAAAUAGAAACAUAAAUAUCAAGGACGUUGGGCUACUUUUACUCUCAGCAAUCCUCAAUGAAUGAGCACGUUACUUGACCCGAGAUGCGCACCGAUUAGGCUUAUUUAACAGAACCUAGCGUGGCAAUGCGUCAAACACAGCUCUGACCCCAAUUUCCCAACACCUUGAGCAGAUUGUUGUGAGAGGGCAGUG
Molecule: small RNA, 549 nt
Filed under: Histoplasma capsulatum
Lineage: Eukaryota; Fungi; Ascomycota; Eurotiomycetes; Onygenales; Ajellomycetaceae
Also listed under: 1 other name
Description: hypothetical RNA
Source: RNAcentral